GUUACAGUGGCCGAGUGGUUAAGGCGACACCCUGCUAUCAAGCGGUUCAGGUGUUGGGCAUUGCCUGCGCAGGUUCGAAUCCUGUCUGUGACG
Molecule: transfer RNA, 93 nt
Organism: Metschnikowia bicuspidata var. bicuspidata NRRL YB-4993
Lineage: Eukaryota; Fungi; Ascomycota; Pichiomycetes; Serinales; Metschnikowiaceae
Rfam family: tRNA
About the family: Transfer RNA (tRNA) molecules are approximately 80 nucleotides in length. Their secondary structure includes four short double-helical elements and three loops (D, anti-codon, and T loops).
Source: Rfam